This 301-nucleotide ribosomal RNA is filed under the name uncultured bacterium. Its description in RNAcentral is "partial 16S ribosomal RNA". It matches the Rfam family "Bacterial small subunit ribosomal RNA", at positions 512 to 808 of the family's 1533-position model. The record is from RNAcentral.
CAGAACCGCGGGAAAACGUAGGGCGCAAGCGUUAUCCGGAAUUAUUGGGCGUAAAGAGCUCGUAGGCGGUUUGUCGCGUCUGCCGUGAAAGUCCGGGGCUCAACCCCGGAUCUGCGGUGGGUACGGGCAGACUAGAGUGAUGUAGGGGAGACUGGAAUUCCUGGUGUAGCGGUGAAAUGCGCAGAUAUCAGGAGGAACACCGAUGGCGAAGGCAGGUCUCUGGGCAUUAACUGACGCUGAGGAGCGAAAGCAUGGGGAGCGAACAGGAUUAGAUACCCGGGUAGUCCCUGUCUCUUAUACA